RNAcentral lists this ribosomal RNA (477 nucleotides) under Candidatus Kuenenia stuttgartensis. Its description in RNAcentral is "bacterial SSU rRNA". It matches the Rfam family "Bacterial small subunit ribosomal RNA", at positions 365 to 832 of the family's 1533-position model. The record is from RNAcentral. Lineage: Bacteria; Pseudomonadati; Planctomycetota; Candidatus Brocadiia; Candidatus Brocadiales; Candidatus Brocadiaceae.
UUCGCAAUGCCCGAAAGGGUGACGAAGCGACGCCGCGUGCGGGAAGAAGGCCUUCGGGUUGUAAACCGCUGUCGGGAGUUAAGAAGUGCAGGAGCGUUAAUAGCGUUCUUGCUUGACUAAGGCUCCAGAGGAAGCCACGGCUAACUCUGUGCCAGCAGCCGCGGUAAUACAGAGGCGGCAAGCGUUGUUCGGAAUUAUUGGGCGUAAAGAGCACGUAGGCGGCCUUGCAAGUCAGUUGUGAAAGCCUUCCGCUUAACGGAAGAAUGCCAGCUGAUACUACAGGGCUUGAGUACGGGAGGGGAGAGUGGAACUUCUGGUGGAGCGGUGAAAUGCGUAGAUAUCAGAAGGAACGCCGGCGGCGAAAGCGACUCUCUGGCCCGAAACUGACGCUGAGUGUGCGAAAGCUAGGGGAGCAAACGGGAUUAGAUACCCCGGUAGUCCUAGCCGUAAACGAUGGGCACUAAGUAGAGGGGUUUU